Long non-coding RNA from Anguilla rostrata (American eel), 807 nucleotides. RefSeq lists it as uncharacterized. The transcript is spliced from 3 exons. The record is from RefSeq and is a predicted model, not a curated record. NCBI's taxonomy places the organism in Eukaryota, Metazoa, Chordata, Actinopteri, Anguilliformes, Anguillidae.
AUUAUUAUUCACUUUUUUACAAUUGAGCACACGCUUCUUAACCCUUUUCUGUCUAAACUAAAUAUAAAUUAAAUUUAUAAUGAAAUGAAAUCAAACAUUCUAUUAUUGAUGGCCAUUAUCAAAGGCAAACUCAAUGUAGAAAGAUAAGGCUGGCAGUAGCAGCGGCGCAGCAGCAACGCUGGCGAUGUGGACACGCACAUGCGUGCGAGCCGCAGCAGUUCAGUGAGGUAGCCGUCACGCACACGUGAGAUUUUCAGUGAUUCAGUUCAGAUGAGAUUUUCAGUGACUCAUUUCAGAACAACGUUAGGAUGUGAAGCCUGAGUUGACGGAUACCGACAGCCUACAGACGCAGCUAGCAGCUGCUCAUCCCUCCUGUCUACACCCACCGUUCUAAAUUUAACAUAGGGCCUAUAUUACACUAGGUGAAAUAAAAUAAAAACGUCUCGUUUAAGUGUUUUACGCCCAUGUUGCUGUAGCCUAAUCGGUCUCAAUCUGUUUACCUAUGAUGGCAAGUCGUUCUGACAAAUCAUUAACUCGCGGAGCGGUUUCUGUUUCCGGAUAUCAUGUAUGUGGCAACAUGUAUGUUUACUGUGUCGUUUACAUGCAGUUCGUGUCUCUGUAAAUGUGUUCACUCGUUGAGCGUUCGCCAGAAUAUAGGCCUAAUAUAAAAUAAAAAAAUAAAAUAAAAAACCUAUUCACAGCUAUAAAGUUCCAUGGUACUAUCCGAAACUCUAUAACAAGGUCAAAGCUUCCACUCAUAACAGGUAGGGUCGCUCAACACUGUCCGCAGCGUCCGCGGUCAGAGGC